Molecule: ribosomal RNA, 486 nt
Filed under: Fusarium verticillioides
Lineage: Eukaryota; Fungi; Ascomycota; Sordariomycetes; Hypocreales; Nectriaceae
Description: eukaryotic LSU rRNA
Rfam family: 5.8S ribosomal RNA (bases 152-305)
Source: RNAcentral
UUACCGAGUUUACAACUCCCAAACCCCUGUGAACAUACCAAUUGUUGCCUCGGCGGAUCAGCCCGCUCCCGGUAAAACGGGACGGCCCGCCAGAGGACCCCUAAACUCUGUUUCUAUAUGUAACUUCUGAGUAAAACCAUAAAUAAAUCAAAACUUUCAACAACGGAUCUCUUGGUUCUGGCAUCGAUGAAGAACGCAGCAAAAUGCGAUAAGUAAUGUGAAUUGCAGAAUUCAGUGAAUCAUCGAAUCUUUGAACGCACAUUGCGCCCGCCAGUAUUCUGGCGGGCAUGCCUGUUCGAGCGUCAUUUCAACCCUCAAGCCCCCGGGUUUGGUGUUGGGGAUCGGCGAGCCCUUGCGGCAAGCCGGCCCCGAAAUCUAGUGGCGGUCUCGCUGCAGCUUCCAUUGCGUAGUAGUAAAACCCUCGCAACUGGUACGCGGCGCGGCCAAGCCGUUAAACCCCCAACUUCUGAAUGUUGACCUCGGAUC